This is a long non-coding RNA of Neogale vison (American mink), 1286 nucleotides long. RefSeq lists it as uncharacterized. The record is from RefSeq and is a predicted model, not a curated record. The transcript is spliced from 3 exons. NCBI's taxonomy places the organism in Eukaryota, Metazoa, Chordata, Mammalia, Carnivora, Mustelidae.
GCGGGCGUCCCGGGGCCGCGCGGCCGCGCCGCAGAAGGUGAAGGAGCAGCGCGAGGCGCGCAGCCGCUGCACCGUGGCGCGCACGAGCGCGGCCGGUCGGCGCCCCCAGCGCGCCCACAGGUACAGCAUAAUAGAUUUUAAAACAGAGAGAGAAUCGGAAAAGAAAGAAUCAGCCUCAAAAACAAGAUUUGGGUUGCUCUGGACUCUGCGCUAGACUAUUCCAAACUGGUGUGGAGAACAGACUAGGAAAAGACCACAGACGAGGGAUUCAGAAGCAAGACUGUCCUUCACCAGAACGUCACUGCAGAAAGGAAUUGUGGCACUCACCUGCCAACAACCAACUCAGUAACCCGUCACCAUGCCUGGCUUCCUACAGGAAAAGCCGACUCCAAGUCUCCUGUCUGCCCCGAGGAGGCAUGCCCUGGAAAUGAUGGUUUGGGGAUAAGACAGAGUGUUAACCAAGAGUAUCCCUCAACCAGAGGAGCUGUCCUCCCUGCCCCCAACCUCCAUUAAAUAGAUCAACUGUUCCUCCCCAGGGGAGCCUAUCUUGCUGACAGUGGCUUUGUCUACUUCUGGAAAGCACCCUGAACCCAAAUGGUCAGAGCUGAAUAGGACAGUUUGCCAAGGGAUCCCAGACUAGCUGGAAGCGUUUAGUAGAUGCUGAAUUUUAAAUAGGUCUCACUGUAAACAGCUCACAUUUAGCAAUGGAAUUAGGGUCUCCACUUUAUGUAGAAGAAUUUAUUCCCUCCACAUCAGUGUUGGAGAACUAAAAAAAUUAUAUUCAGAGAUCCCAGGGUCUCAAGAAUGACCCAUCUGUUUGAAAAAAUAUCCUGCGUAAAAAUAAUUUAAAUACACAUUUAAUUGAAAUGACGAGGAUUUUGUUGGUAAAAGCUGUAACUUGAAGAGCUUUUCUUUGACUACUUGAACCUCUAUGGUAAUGUGUGUUUAUGAGCCAGAAAAUGUCAAGGAAACUAUCCGCAUGUGCAGUUAACUGUUAAGUAAAUUAAACUGUUUUAAACCAAUAAUCCUUUUCAUUAUUGGUUUAAACCCAAAAAGAAAAAUUCAGUUGGGAUUGAAAGAAACAAGCUACUGGCAAAAGAAUAAAUUAGUGGCUUGAGCUGUGAUCAGGGCCUCGAAGCGGGAGAAAGUUGUCAUUUUAAAUCUUGCUGAUUAGGAAAUGCCAGGCCCCAUGGAGGAAGGAAUCAAACCAACCACCAUCUCACCCGUGGUCAAAGAUCAAUUUUGGAAUCCCUAUUUUUAAUUGGAAUUUUGUAUUAAAUUCCAAA